GGCACGUUUAAGAGCUAAUUUUUGCAGGAACAAAGAUGAAGAGCAUAUUUGUCAUCGUGUUGUGGGCUGGUUGCGCGAUAGUGGGCUACUCAUCUGCGACACAAGUUGAAAAUGAGGCACGCGGUGGAUUGUCCUUGGGGACCCUUGGACCUGAUGACAGACUGCUAUCCAAUACCAACCAUGCAGUUGAAGCAGCAGUAUACGUGGUGCAAACGCAAGAGGUAUUAAUACGUACGGUUCAAUAUUCGAGUAUAACUUCAAUUCAUGUUUCUGAAGUCGGAACAACUACGAAUGCGAGUGUGAGUAUUAUUGAAGGAGGGCUUAGGACCAAUUUUGUUAAAUUCCUUUUCCAAUCACAGAAGGGACGAGCAUACUCAUAUAAUAUAAGAAUUCAUGGCACAAUUGAGUGUUAAAAUACAUUUUAUUUUCUUUAGCCACGUAUUUUUUAGACGGAUAUUAUAAACACUUUUGACAAUGUAUUGAUUUCAAAUAUCGCGUGAUGUGACGUCACUUCUAGGUACGUUUUAUACUUAGAAAUGACGUUCUAGCUUGAGAGCUGAAACGUUUCAUCUAAGUACUGUUUGUUGCCUUAAACGACAAAAAAAUACGUGUCUAAAUAUUUUUUCAUUCCCUAACUGACGGAUUAAAUAGUAAUUUAAUUUUCGUACCUCAUUAUCAUCAUCCCUAUUAGAAGAUAAGGGUUGGAAGUAGGUAACAGAGGGGCUAAUAUAAAAUAUACUCACACAUACAAUAAUAAUACCUUGUGACACUCAGUCAUACCUACACAGAUUCACAUUCGACACAUCUAAGAAAGUUUGAUAGCUACAAUAGUUAGUCUUUAUAUCGAUGCCCUCUGGUGAAAACAAUAAUAUCUCGCAUCGUCGUAGAGAUGAUUUGCAAAAAACUAUGUAAUAUUAUGAGACUAUAUUAUAUUUUUUUGUUAUGUGCGUUAAGUGAAUUGU
Spodoptera litura is the source of this 962-nucleotide non-coding RNA. The record is from RefSeq and is a predicted model, not a curated record. NCBI's taxonomy places the organism in Eukaryota, Metazoa, Arthropoda, Insecta, Lepidoptera, Noctuidae.